Molecule: long non-coding RNA, 157 nt
Organism: Myotis davidii
Lineage: Eukaryota; Metazoa; Chordata; Mammalia; Chiroptera; Vespertilionidae
Exons: 2
Source: RefSeq, a predicted model, not a curated record
GGGAAACGUAGUCCAAAACAACAGCCGCUGCGGGUGGCCGCAUUUUCGGCGCGACCCUGGAGCCGGGGGUCCUUCCUCGGCUAUUUGCUUGGCGGAUAUUUUCUCCCAGUCUUUCCAAGAAUUUUGACCGGGUCCAGUGAAUCCGUUUUUCCUGUUA